Long non-coding RNA from Lethenteron reissneri (Far Eastern brook lamprey), 1104 nucleotides. RefSeq lists it as uncharacterized. The record is from RefSeq and is a predicted model, not a curated record. Lineage: Eukaryota; Metazoa; Chordata; Hyperoartia; Petromyzontiformes; Petromyzontidae.
AGCAUCGCGCGGUGUUGCCAGGGGAACCCUGAUGACGCACGGGCGUCACUGCGGGAGCAGCAGCGCACGGACGCAGUCGUCCCGAGAGGCGAGCCGGGCUUGCGUCCCCGCGUCGGACCGCCCGCUGGGAGGGCGACGCUUCCACAGCGCCUCCUCGUUGGCUGGCCACACAGGAGCGGACGCGUAGCAGUCACGGAGACAAUAUAACCCUCGCCUUCCAAGACGACAAGGUGCCCGUUCCAGGACGAUGAAGACGACCCGCUCCAAGAUGACGACAGCAACGACAGCUCAUUGGUUCCCCCACAACAACAGCAGCAGCAGCCCAGAGCCCCGUCCCACACCGGCUUUUAUCCCCCUCACCACCCGGCCACGCCGCUUUUCCCGAACCCUCUCUCACCUGGCCCUGUUUGUCUCUGUCCCAAAUUACUCUUUACGACCGUUUAGGUCCUCACGCGACCCUAUCAGAGGUGGCAAACGGGUUUUGAUUCCUUACCCGUACCCGGCCGCACCAGGGUCGCAAAUGGAACGGGUACCUGUACCCGGCCGGGUACGGAUACCCGUUCCCUACCCAUACCCUACCCGAAAUGAGUGACAAACGGUUACUCACCAGUGACUCACGGCCUACCCGUACCCGUACCCGGCCGCACCAGGGUAGCAAACGGCUACCCGUACCCGUACCUGGCCGGGUACGGGUAGCCGGGUGUCGGGUAGGGUACGGGUAUCGGGUACCCGGUUGCGACCUCUGGACAAUGUCAGUGCCCAUCGCGUCAAUUUAGGUCCCACAUUACCCGAACGUGACCCUGUCUGUUCCCGUCACGUGACUUAGUAACCACGGCAACGGGGAGCAGCACUGUCCCUACAUCACUCCGUACUGUCCUUACAAAUGUCAAAAUGAUGGGCCACUUUAUUGAUUCAUCGUUUGUAGCGAGGUCGCUUCUGAAAGUAAGUUAAUAGCUCAGCGGGCUUUGCCUGGUAGGAUGGGGAUGGUUUAGUUGUGUUUGGGUGAUGUGUUUACCUUUCUUGUACUUAGCGCUACUAUCGUGUUUUUGUACUGUUUGUGAAAAAGAGCUUUACGGCUCAUCGGAUUCCUCCUGCGUCAAUAAA